Molecule: long non-coding RNA, 1034 nt
Filed under: Olea europaea (common olive)
Lineage: Eukaryota; Viridiplantae; Streptophyta; Magnoliopsida; Lamiales; Oleaceae
Description: long non-coding RNA (OEUR_LNC014302)
Source: RNAcentral
GGGUUUAUUGGAGAACACGGACAAAGAUAGAAUUAAAAGGCUUGUACGCUUGAAAAAUCCUACUGAAUUCUGAACAUUUCUCAAGCAUCUCGCUUCUUUGAGUUUACAAAAGUAGAAAGGCGUAGAACAUUAGAGACUGAAGUGCUGUUAUGCAGGUGUUUCUUGAUGUUACUAAUGUUAACUCCCAACUAAUGUUUUAGUUCAUUUAUAGUUAUUGCGCUUUCUUAUUUCCAGUUCUGGUUGUAAAGUACUUCUAUGAUUACUUUGACUUAAAGGCUUGUUUGGGAUAGCUUCUGCUUCUAUUCUUUGUGAGGAAGCCACCUAACUUAGAAAGUUUUUAACCAGAUAAAUAACUUUUAGAAAAUUAGCCAAAACUAAAUAAACACAAGAUAAAAAGUUUGUGUUGCAGUAUAUAAAUAAGAUUUUAGCUUUUUUCAUUAAUAUUGUCUAGUUCACGGUACCAACUUGUAAAAGUGUUUGUGUUCACACUUUUAGGUACGAACUUGUUUAAGGUUCAAAUACUAUCUAGAUCAUGUACUCCUCACAUUGUUGUUGCUACCUCUAGGACCUAGGAUCAACCAAUGUAUCAAGGUUUUCUAUUUUUGGUUGAUGUAAGUAGUGAAAAUUUAAAGCUCAUUUGAUUAGAUGGUCAACCUUAGUAGCUUAUUUCAAGGUUCUUAGUUAAAAAAUUGCUACAUGUUUGUAUGCAUUACAUGUAUAUUUGAUGUAGAGUAUUCUACGACGUGAUAUUGUAAACAAUUUUUUUUGUUUUUCUUUUAAUUGUUGUUUUAUAUUGUACACUCCUUUCUACCCAGCGGUAUUCAAAGUUGGGUAUAAACGAUGUACAUUUACGCUUUUAUCCCUGGAUUAGUUGUAUUCCUUCGAGAAGAUGAAAAACGAUGGAGACAGGUAUCCAUUUACAGAGUUUGAGUAAUACAAGGACUAUUUUGGACAUUUUAUUUUUUUAUUAACACGACAUACACGUGAAGUUUUUUUUUUUUUAUUGCAAUAAAAGUACACCGUCUUAAUUAGAG